Diorhabda carinulata is the source of this 361-nucleotide long non-coding RNA. RefSeq lists it as uncharacterized. Lineage: Eukaryota; Metazoa; Arthropoda; Insecta; Coleoptera; Chrysomelidae. The transcript has 2 exons. The record is from RefSeq and is a predicted model, not a curated record.
AAUAGUUUUUAUAGGUUAUUUAACUCCAUUUUGGGUAUAUUAAAGAAAAUUUUACAACUUUUUUGAUGUGUUGUUAUUGGUGAUGCAUUAUGGGAAGUAGUUUUAAUAACUUUAGUUUAUAUUAAAAAGGGAUUAAUAAUACGAGGAGCUUCUUUGGAUAGCAGGCAAGAUUUAAAUCAUUGUGGAUAAUAUUAUAGUUAGUAUGAAGGUUUUUUUAGAUAUAUUUUCGACGAGAAUAAAAACAAAAUUGGUUUUAAGAAGAUUUUACUAGAAAUAAAGUUUUUCUUAUUGAUAUUAACAAUUAAAAAAGUGAUGUCUUUGUUGUUGUUAUGUGUGAUGUAAUAAAUAUUGUUUCAGUCCA